This 74-nucleotide transfer RNA is filed under the name Bacilli bacterium. Its description in RNAcentral is "tRNA-Gly". It matches the Rfam family "tRNA". Rfam says of the family: Transfer RNA (tRNA) molecules are approximately 80 nucleotides in length. Lineage: Bacteria; Bacillati; Bacillota; Bacilli. RNAcentral also lists the same sequence under 1 other name. The record is from RNAcentral.
GCAGGUGUAGUUCAAUGGCAGAACCCCAGCCUUCCAAGCUGGUUAUGCGGGUUCGAUUCCCGUCACCUGCUCCA